Molecule: ribosomal RNA, 1241 nt
Filed under: Bisnius sordidus
Lineage: Eukaryota; Metazoa; Arthropoda; Insecta; Coleoptera; Staphylinidae
Description: 16S ribosomal RNA
Rfam family: Archaeal large subunit ribosomal RNA (bases 590-1241)
Source: RNAcentral
UUAAUAAAAUUAUUAAUUUAAAUUUUAUAAAGUAUUAUUUAUUUUAUUAUUGAUAUAGAACAAAUUAAAUUAAUUAUAAUUUAUUAGUAAAGUUAUUGAAUUUUUAAAAUAUGAAAAUUUAAAUGUUUAGAAGAAGAAUAAAUUUUGUACCUUGUGUAUCAGGGUUUAUUAAAUAAAAAUUAAUUAGUUAAUUUUCUCGAUCUUGGAAGAGCUAAAAGAUUAAUAAUUUUAUUGUUGAAUAAAUAUUUAAAAUAAUUUUUUAGAAAUGAAACGUUAUUCGUUUCCAUUGAUAUCUAGUUUUUGAAGAAAAAAAUUUAAUUUUUAUUAUAUUAAUUAAAUUUCUUAAUGUUAAGUAAUUUAUAUUAUAUAAUAAAUUUUUUAAGGGAUAAGCUUUAAAAAAUAAUAUUAAAAUUUAUUUUUAAUAGGAGAAUUGUAGGAUUAGAAAUUUCCAUCACUUAAUUUGUUAUAAUUAAUUUAUCUAAAAAUUUAAUUUAUUUAGGUUUAAUUGUUUUAUUCAAAUAAUUUAAUUAAUCAAUGAUUUUUUGUAAUAAUGAUAAAAUUAGUAUAUUUAUAUUUACGAAUAAUUUUUUAUUUAAGGUUGAAUAAAGGAAUUCGGCAAAUUAUUUCUCGCCUGUUUAUUAAAAACAUGGCUUUUUGGUUAUAAUUUAAAGUCUAACCUGCCCAUUGAGUAUUUAAAAGGCCGCAGUAUCUUGACUGUGCGAAGGUAGCAUAAUAAUUAGUUUUUUAAUUGAAAGCUGGAAUGAAUGGUUGAACGAGGAAAUAACUGUCUCUGUUUAAAGUUUAGAAUUUUAUUUUUAAGUUAAAAAGCUUAAAUAUUUUUAAAAGACGAGAAGACCCUAUAGAGUUUUAUAAAUUUAAUUGUUUUAUUUAAAUAGAAUUUUAUAUUUAAGAUUAUUGUAUUUAUUUUGUUGGGGUGAUAAGGAAAUUUAAGAAACUUUUUUUUAUUGUUAACAUUGAUUUAUGAUUCGUUGAUCCAUUAUUUAUGAUUAAAAGAUUAAAUUACCUUAGGGAUAACAGCGUAAUUUCUUUAAAGAGUUCUAAUCGAAAAAGAAGUUUGCGACCUCGAUGUUGGAUUAAAAUUAAUUUUUGGUGUAGAAGCUAAGAAGGCGGGUCUGUUCGACCCUUAAUAUUUUACAUGAUCUGAGUUUAAACCGGUGUGAGCCAGGUUGGUUUCUAUCUUUAAAAUUUUAGUAUAUUUUAGUACGAAAGGACCAAGUAUA